Molecule: ribosomal RNA, 497 nt
Filed under: uncultured bacterium
Lineage: Bacteria
Description: partial 16S ribosomal RNA
Rfam family: Bacterial small subunit ribosomal RNA
Source: RNAcentral
GAUGAACGCUGGCGGCGUGCCUAAUACAUGCAAGUCGAGCGAACAGAUGAGGAGCUUGCUCCUCUGACGUUAGCGGCGGACGGGUGAGUAACACGUGGAUAACCUACCUAUAAGACUGGGAUAACUUCGGGAAACCGGAGCUAAUACCGGAUAAUAUAUUGAACCGCAUGGUUCAAUAGUGAAAGACGGUUUUGCUGUCACUUAUAGAUGGAUCCGCGCCGCAUUAGCUAGUUGGUAAGGUAACGGCUUACCAAGGCAACGAUGCGUAGCCGACCUGAGAGGGAGAGCAGGCAAAAUGUAACCACGCCACGGUGAAGAGCACUGCAGGAGGACGCAGUGCGGAAUGUUGCAUGAGGGUCUGAAGCACGACCGAUAAAUACCGCAGGAAGGAAGAAGGUUUUCAGAUCGUAAAACUCUGUUAGUAGGAAAGAACAAAAGUUUAAGUAACAACUCCCGUCCAAAAGAGGCAUAACCAGCAGCCCACGACUCAUUUCAAG